This 216-nucleotide ribosomal RNA is filed under the name uncultured bacterium. RNAcentral's name for it is "partial 16S ribosomal RNA". It matches the Rfam family "Bacterial small subunit ribosomal RNA", at positions 118 to 351 of the family's 1533-position model. The record is from RNAcentral.
UGGGAACGUGCCUUUUGGUUCGGAACAACCCAGGGAAACUUGGGCUAAUACCGGAUAAGCCCUUACGGGGAAAGAUUUAUCACCAAAAGAUCGGCCCGCGUCUGAUUAGCUAGUUGGUGGGGUAAUGGCCCACCAAGGCUACGAUCAGUAGCUGGUCUGAGAGGAUGAUCAGCCACAUUGGGACUGAGACACGGCCCAAACUCCUACGGGAGGCAG